GACGAACGCUGGCGGCGUGCUUAACACAUGCAAGUCGAACGGAAAGGCCCUGCUUUUGUGGGGUGCUCGAGUGGCGAACGGGUGAGUAACACGUGAGUAACCUGCCCUUGACUUUGGGAUAACUUCAGGAAACUGGGGCUAAUACCGGAUAGGAGCGCCUGCUGCAUGGUGGGGGUUGGAAAGUUUCGGCGGUUGGGGAUGGACGCGCGGCUUAUCAGCUUGUUGGGGGGGUAGUGGCUUACCAAGGCUUUGACGGGUAGCCGGCCUGAGAGGGUGACCGGCCACAUUGGGACUGAGAUACGGCCCAGACUCCUACGGGAGGCAGCAGUGGGGAAUAUUGCACAAUGGGCGGAAGCCUGAUGCAGCAACGCCGCGUGCGGGAUGACGGCCUUCGGGUUGUAAACCGCUUUCGCCCGUGACGAAGCGUGAGUGACGGUAAUGGGUAAAGAAGCACCGGCUAACUACGUG
Molecule: ribosomal RNA, 468 nt
Filed under: uncultured bacterium
Lineage: Bacteria
Description: partial 16S ribosomal RNA
Rfam family: Bacterial small subunit ribosomal RNA
Source: RNAcentral